This 135-nucleotide small nucleolar RNA is filed under the name Carlito syrichta (Philippine tarsier). Its description in RNAcentral is "Small nucleolar RNA SNORA70 (ENSTSYG00000027261.1)". It matches the Rfam family "Small nucleolar RNA SNORA70". Rfam says of the family: snoRNA U70 seems to be exclusive to mammals and is a member of the H/ACA class of snoRNA which contain H (ANANNA) and ACA box motifs. H/ACA box snoRNAs are involved in the conversion of uridines to pseudouridines (5-ribosyluracil) a constituent of structural RNAs (transfer, ribosomal, small nuclear, and small nucleolar). Lineage: Eukaryota; Metazoa; Chordata; Mammalia; Primates; Tarsiidae. The record is from Rfam by way of RNAcentral.
CUGCAGACAAGUAAACCAACCGUGUUCCUCUCUUCAUGGGGGCCCGGUGUACAAUGGCUGCAAACAGCAGCUUCCUUGGUAGUGUACAGCGCCUGCUUCUUGUAUAGGUGGCUCUAAGGGACCUUGGAGACAGCC